Molecule: long non-coding RNA, 585 nt
Organism: Coccinella septempunctata (seven-spotted ladybird)
Lineage: Eukaryota; Metazoa; Arthropoda; Insecta; Coleoptera; Coccinellidae
Exons: 3
Source: RefSeq, a predicted model, not a curated record
CGGUGUUCGAGGCUUUUCCACUCAUUCUGGGACACGCUGCUUAUAUUUUUCCUAGAAAAUUUUUUUUAUGGGAGGAAUAAACAAAAAACAAACGAUGUGGUCAUAUUUUAUUUCAUCGUUUCAUCAAUAAAUAACUUUCAUAGACAGGUGUGCAGUAGAUUUCCAUUAAUUUCAUUUGAAGAGAAAGAUGAGAACUGGUGGCGUGUUGAGAAGGGCAGUCAGAUGAGCAUACAGAUAAUGGUAUGGGACUAUAAUUGUAAGUGUGAUCUAUACUAUUGAGGUAUAAUCUUGAGCUAGUUCGGUCACAUUCUGGACAAGAUUGUUUUUUUUUCUUUCCCCUUCUGAACAGUUCGUAGGCACAUCUGAAAAAGAAAAAAAUUGAAACUCAUUUUAAGGAAUUGGUUUGUUCAACUUUGCCCGUCAAUUUGUCAAGUAUGUAUGUUGCCAAUAGGGUAACAAAAACAAGCUGCUCAUCUUAUUCCACAUUCAACUGGAGUAAUUUGUUGCUAUUAUUCAUGUAAAUGUACUCUGAGAUGUUACAAUAUGAUGAAAUAGAAAAUAGAAGUGAAGUACUUCGAACCUGAA